This is a long non-coding RNA of Gossypium raimondii (Peruvian cotton), 2466 nucleotides long. RefSeq lists it as uncharacterized. NCBI's taxonomy places the organism in Eukaryota, Viridiplantae, Streptophyta, Magnoliopsida, Malvales, Malvaceae. The record is from RefSeq and is a predicted model, not a curated record. The transcript is spliced from 2 exons.
UGACAUGUUUUAUAGGAAGGAUAAUAACUCAUGCAACUUGGAGUGCUUAUGAUGCCAUCUUUCAUACUCAGAAAUUACAUUAUUCUCCUAAACCCUUUUUUAAUCUUUUCUAUUUAAAGAGGAAUGUCAUACAUUCAACAUUUAUGCUUCAUUGGGGAGAAUAACGAAAGGGGAAGAGCAAGGAGACACAUUUAUGGAAUCGACUUCUUUGUUGAUUUUAUGACCUACGGAAAAUAUUUCUUUCGAGACUCGGGAUAGAUACGUGGAUCAUCCGGCCAACACACCAAUCUGACACCUAGUGCCUCAUCAGAACGUCUGAAGUAUACAUUGUGCCAAACACUCAUUGGUAUCAUCUCAAUUCACUAUCAUUUAUCAAGUUCAUAUUUUAUAAUCCCUAUUAACCUAACUCAGACUCGGGAUAGAUACGUGGAUCAUCCGGCCAACACACCAAUCUGACACCUAGUGCCUCAUCAGAACGUCUGAAGUAUACAUUGUGCCAAACACUCAUUGGUAUAACCGAAGUAAAAGUGUGCUCAACACUCAUCGGAACAUUCGAAGUAAAAUGCGCCCAGUGCUUAUCGACGUAUAACCAAAGUAUAACUUGAACACAAUCUAAUCCUAUGACAUGCUAACUAUAUCUGACACUGAUCGAACAUUUAAUAGAGUACCAAUGAUCGAAUUACAUGAUAUAACUAAUUCACAUAUUGUAUCUCAUUUCAUUUCAUCAUCAAUUCACAUAAUAUGCCAUAAUCAAUUUCAUAUCAUAUUCAAUUAUGUUAUGCACAACUCAACUCAGUUCUUAACACAUUAUCGUUCAACACCAAUCAAUUCGUACAACAAGCAUAAGCUUACCUCGAUAGUUAAUCAUGCAAUCAACAUGUAUAUGCAUAUAAAUAUAAUGAUCUUGAAUCAUAAAAGUAUAAACCGAUAUUGCCCGCUACUUGACAACAACUCUCAACUUUCCCUUCUCCGAUACGACUUGAUGUCGUCUUUAGCUACGUUUGAUAAUUCAAUACUAAAAACAUUAUUAGUUUACACUCAAUUCACAUCCAAAUACAUAGACACUCAUAUUUUACAUUUUAUUCAAUUUAGUCCCUAUACUCGAAAUAUGUAUAUUUUUUGAUAUCUAGCAUCAGAUCAAAAUUCGGUUUCACAUUUUUGUUAGGGACCCUAUAUUUUUCAUCUAUAGCAUAAUCUCAUGAUAGUUUCUGAUUUAUUCAAUUUAGUCUCUAAUGUUACAAAGUUAUCAAACAAGCUUAAUUUAAUUUUCAAUUUAGUCCUUAUCAUGAUCUAAGCUUAUUAACUAACAAAUUCAAGCCUACUUCAUCAAUUUCUCUCUAAUGGCAACUUGCUAGAAACUUAACAAUUGAACAAAUUGAUACACGAGUUAGCUAAAUCAAACUCCCAUGAUCAUAAAUCUAAAAAAAAUUCAUGAAAUUAGCUUUGUUACCUAUGUUAUUUGCUUGGCCGAAUGCAAGCUUUCAAAUAGAGUUUUCUCCUUUCUUUUUCUUUCUUUUUGGACAGCAAGGAAGAAGAUGAAGUGAAUUUUCUCUUUCUUUUCCUUAAUUAACUUUGUUUAAUUAGUUAAUUAAGCAUUAUAAUACUUACUUUGUUAUUAAUUAAACUAAGUGGAAUUAACAAUCAUCAUCCACUAAUUCAUGUUGAAAAAUGGUUAAAUAAUCAUUUACAAUUUAAUCAUUGAGAUUUAAUUAACUAAUUUUCUUGGUUAAAUUAUUUAACUGAACUUUAAUAUAUUUUCAUAUUAACUUCAUUAAUUUUUAUAUUUCAUCAUUACGGGUUCGAUUUACGGAAAUGAGAUUUCAAAACCGCAUUUUCCGGCACCUAUAAAAAUCGAGUCAUAACACCUUGCCUUCAAGUGGGACUUUGGAAAAGGAAAUGUAUCCCUAAACCAACAUCUGAGAUAUGCCAGCGGCAUGAUGAAACUAUUAAGCAUCUUUUUGGAUGUGACUGGGUAAGUGUGAUUUGGUUUGAAGCUGUAUAUGGUCUACAAAUUUCUGGGGAAAACAUUAGCACCUUUGAUUGUUAGCUGCUUUCUACUGCUGGAAACAAAGAAAGAUUAGAGAUUCAGAGAGAUGAUUAAUUGGUUAGAAUUUGCUAUGCAACUUGGUAUAUAUGGAAAAUGAGGUGUGAAAGAGUUAUGCAAGGGAAAUAGAUUGUAAUUUGGAAGACUAUAAGAAAGAAACAAAUUGCGCCUAAGGCGAUGAUGGAUUGUAGAGAAGGAAAUGAGGGUCAGACCAGACUGUCAAUGGCUAACUCAAUUGAGGUCACAUAGGAGAAACUUGAGGAACAUUGGCUGAAACUUAACUGUGAUAGGGCUUUUGAUAUUAAGAUAGGGAAAGCUGGACUUGGGGUUAUUGUUCGAGAUAGUAUAGGGACAUUGGUUGAUAGCACAUCUUUGAGUACUGUCUCUGAUUCUCCAAAAAUGACUGAAGCAUUGAAAUUAAA